Molecule: small nucleolar RNA, 78 nt
Organism: Lupinus angustifolius (narrow-leaved blue lupine)
Lineage: Eukaryota; Viridiplantae; Streptophyta; Magnoliopsida; Fabales; Fabaceae
Rfam family: Small nucleolar RNA R160
About the family: snoR160 is a C/D box small nucleolar RNA, which acts as a methylation guide for 25S ribosomal RNA in plants. snoR160 has been alternatively named snoZ270 in rice.
Source: Rfam
AGCAAAAUGAUGAGGUUUAUAAUCUGAAAUUCAUGUUGAAUCCUUAUUUCAAAUGGUCUUCAAAGUUCUCUGAUUGCU